UAAUAAGAAAAAGGCCAUCCUCUUUGAAAUAUUCAAUAAUUAAAAUAUUACCUGCUGCUUUAAUUUUUUUCAGAUAUUCGGAUGUAUUUAUCGGAUUAGUCACAGCCCUUUUAAGAAAAAUACAAUUUACUUGUAAUUUUUCUCAACUCAAUAUGAUAAAUGAUGCAGAUACUGAUGAAGAUAACCAGACCGAGUGGGAAAUUUUUUUGAAAACCACUGUGGAAAUUAUAGCUAUAGUUGCGGAAUACACCCCUAUGGAAACUUUUGGACUAAUUUUGAUUUUCAGUUAUCACCUUGGAAAGUAUGUUUUGAUAUCUUCCAAAACAUGGAGAACACAGUGGAUCAUCAGAAUCGUUCACUGAAAUUUGGAGUUCCCGAGACUGAAAAUAUAUGUUAUGUUCUAAAGGACUUCUCAUCUCUCAGUCAAGCUCUCACCAGGAUUUCUUCUGUUAUUAUUGACUCAG
This is a long non-coding RNA of Leptinotarsa decemlineata (Colorado potato beetle), 464 nucleotides long. Lineage: Eukaryota; Metazoa; Arthropoda; Insecta; Coleoptera; Chrysomelidae. The record is from RefSeq and is a predicted model, not a curated record.